RNAcentral lists this ribosomal RNA (497 nucleotides) under uncultured bacterium. RNAcentral describes it as "partial 16S ribosomal RNA". It matches the Rfam family "Bacterial small subunit ribosomal RNA", at positions 28 to 507 of the family's 1533-position model. The record is from RNAcentral.
GAUGAACGCUGGCGGCGUGCCUAAUACAUGCAAGUCGAGCGAACAGACGAUGAGCUUGCUCCUUUGACGUUUGCGGCGGACGGGUGUGUAACACGUGUAUCACCUACCUCUUUUUCUGGGAUAACUUCGGGAAUCCGGAGCUAAUACCGGAUCAUAUCUUGAACCGUUUGGUUCAAUAGUGAUUGUCGGUUUUUCUGUCUCUUUUAGCUGGUUCCGGGCCGCAUUAGCUAGUUGGUAAGGUAACGGCUUACCAAGGCGACGAUGCGUAGCCGACCUGAGAGGGUGAUCGGCCACACUGGAACUGAGACACGGUCCAGACUACUAAGGGAGGCAGCAGUAGGGAAUAGUAGGCAAUGGGCGAAAGCAUGACGGAGCAAGGCCGAGUGAGUGAUGAAGGUCUUCGGAUCGUAAAACUCUGUUAUGAGGGAAGAACAAAUGUGGAAGAAAAUAAGGACGUAUUGACGGUACCUAAAAAAAAAGCAACGGCUAACUACGUG